This 14543-nucleotide long non-coding RNA is filed under the name Zostera marina. RNAcentral describes it as "long non-coding RNA (ZMAR_LNC005898)". The record is from RNAcentral. Lineage: Eukaryota; Viridiplantae; Streptophyta; Magnoliopsida; Alismatales; Zosteraceae.
CGUGGUCAAAUCCACAACAGGGGAGAAGAUCGAGUAUUCGAUCCAUUUCGAAUUCUGGGCGACCAACAACGCAGCAGAGUACGAAGCCCUCCUCUCGGGGAUCAGACUAACUCGCGCGCUAGGCGCGUCCAAGGUGCACUUCCACACGGACUCCCGGCUAGUAGCCAACCAAGUCAGGGGAGACUUCGUGUCCAAGGAAGACUCAAUGGCGAGCUAUGUGGCUGAGACGAGAGCGGCUUUGAGCAAGCUCGAAGAAUGGAGGAUCUCCCAAAUAGGGAAAGAAAACAACGGGGAGGCCGACACGCUGGCCAAACUGGGAGCGUCCCCAGGAAAGACGGAGGCAAGGUGGAUCCGGAUCGAGAACCAAGAGCGGCCGACGACGACCAGCAGCCCCGGGUCGGCCAGAGCUUGCGGUGUGAUAACAUCGGGGGAUUGGAGAACGCCAAUCAGGAGGUUCAUCGAGGCAGGCGAAGCGCCAACAGACCUGAUGAAGCACUGAAUCUGCUACCAGGGCUCGCGGUGGUGCGAGGUUGAUGCCGGAGGCUUUGGAGUCCACGACGCACGCUCUACGUCAAAUACCUGCAAGUGGAAACUAGGCGAUUCUAAUGAGACUCGCCGAGUUUCGUAGUGAUGCUCUGGUGUGAGAGAGGAACUUGAAUCGUGCCUUUGAGUGUCCCCUUGAGACCCUUUUUAUAGGAUCUCGGAGGGCGCAAUCAAAGGCGGACAUCGAGCCUAUAGUCAUAUAUGGUAACAUUUAUGACGUUGGCUGGCGGCGAGUAACGGUCGUAAGUCGCCGAUUCAGGUAUGGAAGUCGCCUAGUUAGGGCUAACUCGUCGAGUUUCUAGGGCCAAGAUGUACAGUCUACCAUACUACCGAUCUUGCCUUAACUCGGCGAGUUAUCCUGUAUGUCGGCGACUUGGUUGUCCAAUCGGGCGACUUACGGGCUAACUCGGCGAUCUGGACGAUGAACGUGUUCCGCACCGUGGGAGCUCUUCGGGGGUCCUGCCAUAGCGACGGAGCCCUAGUCCUUAUUGUAAGGCGUUGCUGGUAGUGACUGACGUAAUCAGGCAUGUCUCACCGGUACUCCCCCCUGAAGAGAGCACAAGAAAUAUGCGUGUAUCGCCAGUACCCCCCCCCCCAACCAAGGUUCAAUGUGUGUGAUCCAGCACCAAGGCCAAAGCGACAAGAUGAGAUCGAAUCAUCCACCCACAGUGACGUAAUGAUUCAGAAUCCAUAGGCCAAAACGUCAAGAAUAGAUCGAGUUCCAGGCCAAGGUAACUCUGUUUAUAGUCCUUCCCUGAUCAGGGGCGACUGCACUGUGUUAUCGAGGCCGAAGCGACAAGAUAAAUUCCGGCCAAAGCGACGGAAUACGAUUCAAGCCGGAGCGACAGAAUCGGGUUCUUGCCAGAGCGAUAGAACCAAGUUCUAGCCGAAGCGAUAGAACUAAUGUUUAUAGUCCACUCUGAUCAAGAGCGACUUAAAGUCCGCAACGACGGCCCCCUUCGAGGCUUUUUAGCGACAAGAUGGGUUGAGAUCGUUAAGGCCAAAGCGACAGAACGAUCUCUGGUGUAUCAAGGAAGAAUGCGACAAGAUACUUGGACUCACUAUUAGAGUCUUAUUCUGGCCAAAGCGAUAGAAUAAUACCUGCAAAAAAGAAAAACAUUCUGGCCAAAGCGACAGAAUAAUAUCUGCAAAAAAGAAAACAUCCUGCAAAAGAACUAGAUCAGUCUAAAAACGCAUAUGACUAUUGACCGAUUUUACCUCUUGCGAUAUUCUUCUCUUUACUUUGAUCAAUCCUCGGUGAAUCUGGCCGAAGCGAUAGACUCACCGUGCUCAUGUUUGACGACUUCUGGCCAGAGCGACAGAAGUGUCGGGAGAACUUGUGAUACUCCUCCCUGAGUUUUGACAAUUUCCGGUCGGAGCGACAGAAAAGUCGAAAGAGUUUGUGAUACUCCCCCCUGAGGUUUGACAAUUUCUAGCCGAAGCGAUAGAAACGUCGGGAGAGCUUGUGAUACUCCCCCUCGAUGUUUAACGAUCUCUAGCCGAAACGAUAGAAAUGUCGGGAGAGCUUUUGAUACUCCCCCUCGAGAUUUGACAAUUUCCGGCCGGAGCGCCAGAAAAGUCAGGAGAGCUUGAGAUACUCCCCCCUGAAGUUUGACGAUUUCUAGCCAAAGCGAUAGAAAUGUCGGGAGAGCUUGUGAUACUCCCCCUCGAGAUUUGACAAUUUCCGGCCGGAGUGACAGAAAAGUCGGGAGAGCUUGAGAUACUUCCCCCUGAAGUUUGAUGAUCUCUAGCCAAAGCGAUAGAAAUGUCGGGAGAGCUUGUGAUACUCCCCCUCGAGAUUUGAUAAUUUCCGGCCGGAGCGACAGAAAAGUCAGGAGAGCUUGUGAUACUCCCCCCUGAAGUUGUGGAAGGGGGCUUGUGAUUUUCCCCCUAAGAUACUAUAUGAUAUCCUAAGUCGGCGACUUAAGGUGUUAACUCGCCGACUUAGCAUUGGGGUUGUUUUUUGAGAAACCUGGAGGUUCGCUGACCUAGAUCGGCGACUUUCCUAUAAACUCGGCGAGUCUUAGUAUGAGCUGGCGGAUCUCUUCGAGAAUCCUUAGGAUCUUGGGAAAUAUUCGCAAAUUUUCCAAGUAUGGAAAUUUCCUCUACGUAUCCCUUGAUUUUUGCCCAAACUCGGCGAGUUUUCGAGAGACUCGCCGAGUUUGUGGAUUUGGAAAUCAAUUAGCGAUUUUUCUUCGCGUAAUUUUUAGAUUUUCCGGGGGGGUUUUGCAAUUUGUCCAGGGUCUAUAAAUAGUGAGUUGAUUUAUUUUUUAAUCCGCACAUCACUUUCCCUGAUUUUGCUUAAACCCUGAUCCCUUUCUAAGUCGCCGAGUUUCUUCAUAACUCGCCGACUCUCAUCACAAUCACCAGAACUUUCUUCCAAGUCGCCGAGUCUAAUCUUAAAUCGCCGACUUAUGGCAGACGAACCGUCUCUCCCUAGAUUGACAAUGUCGGAGACCGAAGCUCUGGUCGCCGACAUACUGAAUGAUGAUAUUGACGAAGGCUUGACGUGGGUGCUCGACACCGUUGAGUCUCCGAUUCCCUCACCUUCGCGCGGUGGGUCGGAGAUUUCGGAUGCCGAUGCGCCGCAGAACGUCAAGUUCUUGGCUACUGCCCGCGAGUUGCUUGGGUUAACUCCUGAAAACUCGCCAAAUUCUCAAAAGAAAUCGGCGAGUUUGACGGAUGAUUCCCUGGCUCUGGUCGUGGCAGAGCCUUCUGUUGAACCGGGUGAGAUCCCCCCGACUCUUGCAGCUAAGUCGGCGAGUCCCCUUGGGAAGUCGCCGGCGAAAGGCAAGGGGGGUGUCCCCAUGUUUAAGAGACCUCGCCGAGUAAUUCAACUCAGAUCGGCGAGUUCAGUACCAACAUCGGCGAGUUCAGCACCUAAAUCGCCGACAUUGCCCCCAAACUCGGGGGAUGUUUCUGAAGAACCUGAACCCACCAAGCGGUGGAAUCUGAAGGGCUGAUAGACGAAUCUGAGAGGCCGAAGAAAAGAAAGAGGAAGCACCCUAAACAUGCAAGGGAUUCCUCUGAGAAGCCUGACGAGAGUAAUGCCCCCAUUCCUCAUAUUUAUGGGAUGGGUGGUAGAGGAAAGACGCACUUCCCCUCUGCGGAGGAUGUACGGGUCCCUGAGCCCUUUGACUUUACUCAAGAGUUGCCAGUUGACCGUGGCCAGAGCCGAUGCCGCAAUGAUCCUUCUGACGGAUCGCACACUCCUCCUCCUCCUAUGGAAAUGGACAAGGAUGGAGAUCAUGUGAACCUCCCGUUCUACGAGGGAGUGGAGAACCACACCGGCUAUGCACACUGCGAGACCUUGCCGGGUGGUGAGAUUAGACUGCUGCCCCUUAGCGACACGGACGAGGGGUCCUUUGAGGAGGUUUCUGUCAACGCACCUCUCGUGCCUCAAAACGAGACUGUGCAUCCUUUUUCAAUAACCUCUGCGCUUGAAGCCCGUGAAAUUCUGCGCGGGGUUCGCAUAUCUGGGCAUCUGCGAUUUUGGGAAUCGCGAUAUCAGCCCGCGAAUCUUCCUCCCGCGGGGUUCCAAGCCAUCCCCAGACUCUACUUCAGACACUUCUCAAUGCUGCCAAUUCCUGCACUGAUGAGCGAAGUGUUGCUGCAAGGGGGGUCUCGCUGUAGCAGAUGCAGGCAACAUUUUUUGUCUAUUUGAGAGGUUUCUCCAACAUCUGUUGGAGCCUGAACAUCCCUGCAACCGCCGCCUUGUUUUUCUGGUUUUUCAAAUUUGUCAAGGCGCCCGCUUCCGAAUCUGGUCGGUUGGGGUUAGCGAAGCGGUUCAGCGGAAGAGAGCUGAUUAUAGAACUUCCCACUAACUACGGGCCCCAGUGGAAGAGCGAGUUCUUUUUUAUUGAUUCUACAUUUGUACGCGGGAGCCGCGAGAGGUGGGCCAACGCUCGCCACGUACACCUGGAUGUUCCUUGCGCCCUGAGCAAGGCUGAACUGAAGCGGGUGAAGAAGAUCUCUUCUGCUCUCGCUUCUUUCGAAUGCGGGCAAGGAGUUCCUUUCGCUUUGUGCCAGCGAGAGGAUUUUACUUUUUCUGACAUGGCACACUACCUGCGGUCAGAGGACCCUUCUGGAAAUCCGAUUAAGAAGAAGAAGGGUGCACAUCUUUACCGCGAGGCGGUCCUUCCACAUUUGGCCGUGAGACUUCGCGGCGCUAAGCUGAUUAGAGAAAGGAAGGCCCAAGAGACUGGCCCCCGCAGAACCUUCGAGACUGGGUCGAGCUCGAGGUCUGUUCCUGAAUUCGCCCCCUUCCGCACCACUUUUGAUUAUCCGGGCUUGUUUGCCGAUGAAGGGGUGCGAACGAAGGCUGCCCAGCUGCUUCUGACUAAGCCUGGGGACUGGAUACGCGAAGAGCUUGACAAAGCUAUAUCUGUUGUAAGUGAUUCACGAUCGCUUUUCAUUUAUAUGUGUUUCAUUUUAUUUUUCUAAUUGAUUGUUUUGUUUUGUAGGUCGCGUAUUUAUCAAAUGCAACUAUUGGGAUGCAAUCUGCGAACGACACACUCCGUUCUCAACAGGAGUACAACAAACUUGAUGAUAAGUAUCAAGCUGUCUGCAAAGAAGUGUGGUCGUUGAGAAAGACCCUCCAACGGAAUAAGAAGUUGGAGGAAAAAGCUGCUGAGCACGAGAAAGCGAUGGCGGCAAAGAACAAAGAGUGUGCUGCGCGCACCUACUCCAAAUUGCAAAUCUUCGCCAAGACUGUGACUCCUUGAGAGAAUCUGAGUCGCGUCUCGCUGCUGCCCUAAAAGAAGUUGAUGGGCUGAAGACGCAGUUAAGUGCGGAAGUGGGAAAUGCUAUGGUUUCUGAAUCGCAAAUUCAGAAACUCAAAGUAGAACUUUCUGAAUCCACUUCUGCCUUGAAAGAUUUGGAAGAUCGCUUCUCUCAGUCCACGGAGAAGUCGAAGAAGAUGAAGGAAGCUCUGGACGCUUCUUCUGAAAAAGUCAAGGAUUUGGAGUUCGAAGUUGAUGGCCAAUCUGAUCAACUCCAGGACUUGAACUUUUUUGGUCCUCACGUGUUUACGAGUCUGCCCGCCAACUACAUUUCAGAUAUUAUGGCGUGGCUAGAAGAACAUCCUGAAGUGCAGCUGGAGCACAAGGAGGCCUUAGAUAAGAUCAAAAGCGAUGUUCGCGAAGCGAGGAAAGAAGAUUGAACUAUUAUUGUAAUAGAUUUCGUCGGAGACCGAAGCUCUGGACGACGACAUUUUGAACACCGACAUAGAUGAGAGCUUAGCGGCGGUGCUCAACACCGUCGAGUCUCCGAUCCCCUCGCCUGCGCGCGGUGGGUCGAAGAUUCCGAUUGUCGAUGCACUGUCGAACGAUAAGUAUUGUGCUACGGCCCGCGAGUUACUCGGGCUCACUCCCGAACACUCGUCGAGUUCUAACAAGAAGUCGGCGAGUUCGGGGUGUGACUCCAUGGCUCUGGUCGUAGCAGAGCCUUCUAUUAAGAUGGGCGAGAUUCUCCCGACUCUUGCUCCUAAGUCGGCGAGUCCCCUUAGGAAGUCGCCGACUAAGGGCAAGGGGGGUGUCCCCAUCUUCAAGAGGCCUCGCCGAGUUAUUAAACUGGGAUCGGCGAGUUUGGAACCUAAGUCGCCGACUGAAGAAAUUGUGCCCCUUCAAGUGGUGGCACCUGAGGGGUUGACUGAUCUGGGAAAGAGGCCGACUGAAGAAUCUGAGAGGCCUAGUAAGAGAAGAAAGAGAAAACAUCCGAAACAUGCGAAGAACUCUUCUCAUGCUGUUGACGAAAGUAGUACCCCCAUUCCUCCCACUCAUGGGAUGGAGAGUAGAGGAAAGAAGCACUUCCCCUUUGCGGAGGGUGUACGGGUUCCUAAGCCCUUUAAUUAUGAUCAGGAACUAGAGCUGAACCGUGGCCAAAGCCGACGCCGCCCUGAUCCAGCUGAGAAAUACCAGACACCUCCUCCUCCCACGGAAGUGGACAAGGAUGGAGACCAUAUUAACCUCCUAUUCUAUGAGGGAGUGGAGAACCACACCGGCUAUGCUCAUUGUGAAACCUUGUCGGGUGGUGAAAUUAGGCUGCUACCCCUGAGCGACAUGAGCGAGGGUUCUUUUGAAGAAGUUUCCCUGAAUGCACCUCUUGUGCCGUAGACUGAGACCGCGCAUCCAUUUUCUGUUACAUCUGUGCUCGAAGCCCGAGAAAUUCUGCGGGGGAUACGCAUUUAUGGGCACUUGCGAUUUUGGGGGUCGCAAUAUCAACCCGCGAACCUUCCUCCUGCGGGGUUCCAAGUCAUUCCCCGACUCUACUUCAGACACUUCUCUAUGCUGCCCAUCCCCGUAUUGAUGAGCGAAGUGUUACUAUAAGGGGGCGUGUCGCUGUCACAGAUGUAGGCAGCAUUUUUUGUAUAUUUGAGAGGGUUCUCCAACAUCUGUUGGAGUCUAAAUAUCCCUGCAACCGCUGCCUUGUUUUUCUGGUUUUUUAAGUUUGUCAAGGCUCCCGCUUCCGAAUCUGGUCGGUUGGGGUUGGUGAAGCGGUUCAGCGGGCGUGAACUGAUUGUAGAACUCUCCACUAACUAUGGGCCGCAGUGGAAGAGGGUUAGCUGAUGAAGCACUGAAUCUGCUACCAGGGCUCGCGGUGGUGCGAGGUGAUGCCGGAGGGUUUGAAGUCCACGACGCACGCUCUACGUCAAAUACCUGCAAGUAGAAACUAGGCGAUUCUAGUGAGACUCGCCGAGUUUCUUAGUGAUGCUCUAGUGAGAGUGGAACUUGUGUUGUGUCCUUGAGUGUCCCCUUGGGACCCUUUUUAGAGGGUCUCGGAGGGCGCAAUCAAAGACGGACAUCGCGCUUAUGGUCAUAUAUGGUAACAUUUAUGACGUUGGCUGGCGGCGAGUAACGGUCGUAAGUCGGCGAUUCAGGUAUGGAAGUCGCCUAUUUAGGGCUAACUUGCCGAGUUUCCAUGGGCGAGAUGUGCAGUCUACCAUACUGCCGAUCUUGGCCCUAACUCGGCGACUUAUCCUUUAUGUCGGCGACUUGGUAGUCCAAUCGGCGACUUACGGGCUAACUCGUUGAUCUGGACGAUGAACGUGUUCCGCACUGUGGGAGCUCUCCGGGGGUCCGGCCGAAGCGACGGAACCCUAGUCCUUGUUGAAAGGCGUUGCUGGGAGUGACUGCCGUAAUCAGGCAUGUCUCACCAAGGGGUAAGCUGUGGCGGACUUCAUUGUCGAACUCACACCACUCAAUUUGACCCAACCUUGGGUUGUACAAGUAGACGACUCGAGUUGUAGCACAGGCUCAGGUAUCGGAGUGAAAAUCCAUAACCCGGAUGGAAAAAACUACGAACGCUCGGUACGGCUUCACUUCCGGGCCUCUAACAACGUCGCGGAAUAUGAAGUAGCCAUACACGGCCUGAAUCUGUUAAGAACUCUCGGCACUGAGAAUGUCACGUUCUGCACUGACUCCCAGCUCGUAGCUCGGCAAACCACUGGUGAAUUCGCUUGCAAGGAACCACAAAUAAUUAAAUAUGUGGAGGCAUUGGUAGCACUCACCAAGCAGUUUGCUGAGUUCAGAAUCGAGUAAAUCCCUCGAAUUCAAAAUUCCCCCGCCGACGCUUUGGCAUGUUUAGCGUCGGCCUGGGAGGGAGGGCAGCGCGAGAUAUUAGUAGACUUCAUACUCCAGCCUACAUACCAAGUAUUGACUGUUAUCUCCGACCCUCAAGAGGAUUGGAGGCAACCGAUAUUGGCAUUCAUUCAGAAUGGAGUACUUCCUGAAAAUAAAGGAGAGGCCAAAAAGUUGAAACAUAAAGCGGCAAAGUACUGUGACCUCGGAGGGGUGCUUUACAAAAAAGUCCUUCGAUAGCCCGUUGCUACACUGUUUGGCCAAACCAGAUACGGAUAAGGUUAUUCAAGAAGUACACGAAGGCUCGUGCGGGCUCCAUGAGGGAGGAAGAGCACUGACCUUCAAAAUCAUAAGGCUGGGAUAUUAUUGGCCCACUCUAAGGUUGGAAGCUCGCACUUACGUCCGCAAGUGCCGAGCAUGUCAGCUGCACAGCCCCAUCCAGCAGAAACCAUCCGUGAACAUGACUCCGAUUCUGAGCUCGAUCUCGUUCGCAAGGUGGGGACUGGACAUCGUAAGACCAUUCCUCCCUCAACAUCCUAGGCUCGGUUCAUCUUUGUAGUAGUAGAUUACUUUACAAAGUGGGUCGAGGCUCAGGCUGUAGCGAAAAUCACUCAGGAUGCGGUAGUUAAGUUCGUCUACCGCUCCAUAGUCUGUCGAUUCGAAAUUCCCCAACACAUUGUCACGGACAAUGACACACAAUUCACAGGGGGGAAUUUUCAAGAAUGUACGAGGACCUAAAUAUAAAACUCCACUUGCCUCCGUUUACCGACCUCAGGCAAACGGGCAAGUGGAGGUCACCAACAAGGCCAUCGUACAAGGAUUGAAAAAGAAAAUCGAAUCAGCUAAGGGGACUUGGGCAGACAAGUUGUGCGAAAUCCUAUGGGCAUAUCGCACAACGAGUAAAAACCUCACGGGAAACACCCCUUUCGCUAUGACCUAUGGAGUGGAAGCAGUCGUACCGAUCGAGAUGAGUAUGCCAACAUAUCGAGUUUCGAAGUACGACGAACAAACAAAUGACCAAAACCUAGCUACAGAGCUAGAGUUGAGGGAUGAAACCCGUGACGAGGCGGACCUGCGGAACGAAUCGUACAAGGCAAGCAUAUCAAGGUACCACAAUCGCCAAGUUUGCAAAAAAGUCUUCCUGCCAGGAACUCUCGUCAUGCGGAAAGCUAGCAUAACAUAAAGGAAUAGACCAAGAAAUAAAUUGUCAUCCAACUUCGAAGAUCCCUACGUCGUCGAAGAGGAGAUAAGGCCAGGAACUUAUCAUCUACGGCGACAGGAUGGAACAAUGGUGCCAAACACCUGGCACGCGGACAACAUGCAAUAGUACGACGCAUAGUACUCAUCGUAUUUCGUUUAUUUUCUUUAAUUUUCCUAAUAUGUAUGUUAGUCAAUCAUAGAACUCUCUCUUUAUGUUAUAACCCGCAAGGAUACCCUAAAAAGUAUAUUUUGUCGCUUCGGCCUCAGUAGAUCAAGGAUCAUUCCGUCGCUACGGCCCCAAUGAUCCUAUCCCAUCUUGUCGCUUCGGCCUUGAUGCGGAUCAACAGUCACUCCAUCACUACGACCGGAGUCAGACUACACUCUCAGGGUCCAAAUCCAGGAUUAGUACGAACAAGUCCAAUUUAGGCAUGCAAACCUAGAAUUGCGAUCACAACCCUUAUUCGCACAUGCGAAUCAGGAAUUAGUGGGUUUUACAUCAAUUUAUCACUCAAACUAUUUUCAACCCUAAAAGUUAAUUUAGAAGUAUAAAUCAUUUUCGAGUUUAACUAGCGACUGAACUACGAUUCGUACGACCAAGCUUACGCCCGGAGUGGCUAAGUAAGGUUAGCAGAAUCUAACUUACGUCCAGAGAGGCUAAGUUACGAUUUGUGAAUCUAGUUUCAAGCUUAGGUUACAACUUCAAAAUAUUUAUAUAAAAAAUUAACAAAGAAAAGCAAAAUAGUUCAUUGAUUGAUAAAAAUAUUACAAAAAAUCCACUGCAAAAUUAAGUCUAAUCCUCUUCUUUCCUCGCUUCCCGAACAUCGCUCUUUAUCUUAUCAAGAGCUUCUUUGUGUUCCAGCUGCACUUCAGGAUGUUCUUCUAGCCACGCCAUAAUGUCAGUCACGAAAUUGGCAGGAAAGCUCGGAAACACAUGAGGACAGAAAAAGUUUAAGUCUUGAAGUUGGUUAAAUUGACCAUCUACUUCAAACUCUAAGUCCUUCACUUUCUCGGAAGAAGCGUCUAGUUCUUCCCUCAUCUUUCUCAACUCCUCCGUGGAUUGAGAGAAGCGGUCAGUCAGAUCCUCUCACUCAGAGUUGGGCUUAGAAAGAUCUACUUGAAGCUUCUGAAUUUGUGAUUCAGAAGCCAUCGCAUUGCCAACCUCCGCACUCAGCUGCGUUUUCAGUUCUUCAAUCUGUUUAAGAGCAUCAGUGAGACGCGAUUCAGAUUUCACCAAAGAGUCGCGUUCUUGGAGAAGAGUAGAAAUCUCAAGUCUAUAUGCGGCGCACUCUUUAUUCUUCGCCAUCAUCGCUUUCUCAUGCUCAGCAGCUUUUUCUUCCAAUUUCUUGUUGUUUUGGAAGACUUUCCUCAUCGACCACACUUCUAUACAGACAGCUUGAUACUUGUCAUCAAGCUUAUCAUAUUCCUAUUGGGAUCGAAGCGUGUCGUUACAUGACUGCAUCCCAACAGCAGCAUUCGAUAGAUACGCAGCCUAUAAAAAAAACAAUUAGAUUAGCACAAAAAUAAAUAAGUCAAAUAAGAUGCGAGUUUAGGUCACUUACAGCAAAUAGAGAUUUAGUGAGCUCCUCUCAUAUCCAAUCUCCAUGCUUCGUCAAUAACAUUUUGGCAGCCCUCGAUCACACCUCCGCAUCCGCAAACAGGCUCGGAUAAUGAAAGGUGGAUCGGAAAGGAGCAAACUCUGGUGCUGACCUCGAGCACGAUCCAGGUUCAAACGUGCCACGAGGACCAGAUUCCUCAGUCUUCCUGAUCUGAAUCAACUUGGCACUACGCAACCUCGCAGCCAAGUGAGGGAGCACCGCUUCGCGGUAGAGAUGUGCCUCCUUCUUCUUCUUGAUAGGCUUGCCAGAAGGAUCUUCCGACUUCAGAUAGUGUAUCACAUCAGAGAAGGUAAAAUCCUCACGCUGACACAAAGCGAAAGGAAUCCCUUGACCACAUUUGUAGGCUUCAAGGGCUGAGGAGAUCUUCUUCACAUCCUUAAGUUCCGACUUGCUCAGUGUGGAAGGAACGUCCAAGUGUACGCGCCAAGUGUUGGCCCAACCCUCUCGACUUCCGCGUACGAACAUUGAUUCAACAAAAAAGAACUCGCUCUUCCACUGCGGUCCGUAGUUGGUGGGGAGUUCGAUGAUCAGUUCACGCCCAUCAAACCUCUUAGCCAACCCCAACCGACCAGAUUUGGAAGCGGGAGCCUUGACAAGUUUAUAGAACCAGAAAAACAAGGCAGCGGUUGCAGGGAUAUUCAAACUCCGACAAAUGUUGGAGAAUCCUCUCAAAUAUAUAAAGAAAGCUGUCUGCAUCUGCGACACGCCAGCUUGUAGCAACACUUCACUCAUCAACAUAGGAAUGGGUAACACGGAGAAGUGUCUGAAGUAGAGUCGGGGGAUCGCUUGAAACCCCGCAUGAGGAAGGUUAGCAGGUUGGUAUUGCGACCCCCAAAAUCGCAAACGCCCAGAGAUGCGCACUCCUCGCAGAAUGUCUCGGGCUUCACGUACAGACAUGACAGAAAAGGGGUGCACGGUAUCCGUUUGUGGCACAAGGGGAGCAUUCAGAGAGACUUCCUCAAAGGACCCUUCGCUCACGUCGCUUAGGGGCAGCAACUUAAUCUCACCACCCGACAAAGUUUCAUAGUAAGCAUAGCCGGUGUGGUUCUCAACUUCCUCAUAAAAAGGAAGGUUGAUGUGGUCUCCAUCCUUGUCCACUUCAGUGGGAGGAGGAGUCUUUGAUCCUUCAACCGGAUCAGGCCCCGAGUUUUAGGGCAAUGUCGGUGAUUUAGAUGACAAACUCACCGAUGUUUGCUCAGAACUCGCCGAUCCCAGGUAAAUAACUCGGCGAGGUCUCUUGAAAAUGGGGACACCCCCCUUGCCUUUAAUCGACGACUUCCCAAGGGGACUCGCCGAUUUAAUCGCAAGAGUUAAGGGGAUCUCGCCACUUCAACAGAAGGCUCGGCCACGACUAGAGCCCCGGAGUCACGUCCCAAACUCGUCCAUUUCUUGGUAGAACUCGGCGAUUUCUUAGGCGAUUUGGGGAAAAUGAUGUGCGGAUUAAAAUAAUCGAUUCGCUAUUUAUAGACCCUGGAGAAAUUGCAAAACACCUUCGGAAAAUCCAAAAAUUACGCGAAGGAAAAUCGCUAAUUGAUUCUCGAAUCUCCAAAACUCGGCGAGUUACCCACAAACUCGCCGAGUUUAGGCAAAUAUCACGGGAUACGAAAGGGAAACUUCCAUAUUCGGAAAAUUUGCAAAUAUUUUCCAAUAUCCCAAGGAUUUUCUAAGAAAUUCACCAGCUCAUAGUAAGGAUCGCUGAGUUUGUAAGAAAAAUCGCCGAUCCAGGUAGGCAAACUUCAAAGUUGCUCACAAAACCACCCCAAUGCCAAGUCGCCGAGUUAGAACAUUAAGUCACCGACUUGGGGUAUCACAUAGCAUCUUAGGGGGGGAGUAUCACAAGCUCCCUUCAACGCAACAAAAGGAGAGUAUCACAAACUCUCCACGACACUUCUGUCGCUUCGGCCAGAAGUUGUCGCAAUUCGGGAGGGAGUAUCACAAGCUCUCCCGACAUUUCUGUCGCUCCGGCCGGAAAUCAUCAAAUUUCGAGGGGGAGUAUCGCAAGCUCUCCCGAUAUUUCUGUCGCUCCGGCCGGAAAUCGUCAAAUUUCGCAGGGGAGGGGGGGGUAUCGCAAGCUCUCCCGACAUUUCUGUUGCUCCGGUCGGAAAUCGUCAAAUUUCGAGGGGGAGUAUCACAAACUCUCCCGACAUUUCUGUGGCUCCGUCCGGAAAUCGUCAAAUUUCGGGGGGAAGUAUCACAAGCUUUCCCGACACUUCUGUCUCUUCGGCCGAAAGUCGUCAACAUGAGCACGGUAUAUCUGUCGCUUCGGCCAGAUCUACCAUGGAUUGGUUCGAGCAAAAGGAGAAUAUCACGAGAGGUAAAAUCGCACGGUAAGUUCAAUUGGUCAAUAAUAAUAUGCGUUUUAGACUGAUCUAGUUGUUUUGCAGGAUGUUUUCUUUUUUGCAGGUAUAAUUCUGUCGCUUCGGGCAGAAUCAGGUCUAUCUUGUCACUUUGGUCUUGAUAAACCAAAGUCAUUCUGUCUCUUUAGCCUUAAUGGUCUCAACCCACCAUUCCGCUUAUUUGCAUUGAUGGGUUGACCGUCGUUGCGGACAUAAAGUCGCUCUUGAUCAGGGUGGACUAUAAACAUUAGUUCUAUCACUUUGGCUAGAACUCAAUUCUGUCGCUUCGGCCAGAAUCAGGUUUUGUCGCUUCGGCCAGAAUCCAUCUUGUCGCUCCGGCCUUGAUUAACACAGAACAGUCGCUCUCGAUAAGGGUUAAACUAUAAACAGGUAGUUCUGUUGGCCUGGAACUCGAUUCUGUCGGUUCGACCCGGCAGAGUCAAUCCAUUCUGUCGUUUAGGCCUUAAUGGAUACGUAAUCAGUACGUCACUGUGGACGGAAUGAUUCGAUCUCAUCUUGUCGCUUUAGCCUUGAUACGGAUCACACAUAGAACCUUGGUUGGGGGGGUACUGACGAUACACGCAUGUUUCUUGUGCUCUCUUCAGGGGGGAGUACUGGUGAAACAUGCCUGAUCACGGCAAUCACUCCCAGCAACGCCUUUCAACAAGGACUAGGGUUCCGUCGCUUUAGGCCAGACCCCCGGAAGGCUCCCACGGUGCGGAAAAAGUUCAUCGUCAAAUCGUCGAGUUAACCCGUAAAUCGCGAUUGGACUACCAAAUCGCCGACUUUAGGGAUAAGUCGCCGAGUUAGGGCCCAGAUCGGCAGUAUGGUAGACUGCACAUCUCGCCCCUGGAAACUCAGCGAGUUUGCCCUAAAUAGGCGAUUUCCAUACCUGAAUCGCCGACUUACGACCGUUACUCGCCGCCAGCCAACGCCAUAAAUGCUCCCAUCUAUGGCAAUAGGCGUGAUGUCCGCCUUUGAUCGCGCCCUCCGAGACCUUAUAAAAAGUGUCCCAAGGGGACACUCAAAGGCACAACACAAGUUCCACUCUCACCAGAGCAUCACUAAGAGACUCGUCGAUUCUCACUAGAAUCGCCUAGUCUCUACUUGUAGGUAUUUUACGUAGAGCGCGCGUCGUGUACUCCAAAGCCUCCGGCAUCACCUCGUACCACCGCGAGCCCCUGGUAGCAGAUUCAGUGCUUCAUCAGAGGACGCCGAUACAAAAGUUCUUCGAAACAGGCGAGGGACCAAGUAACCCAAUGGAGGCUAGG